AUGAGCUCUGCCAAUCACCCACAGACUGACGGGCAAACCGAGCGGGUAAACCAGUGUCUAGAGACAUUCCUUCGGUGUUCCACUCAAGCAUGCCCGCGCCGUUGGAGCUUCUGGAUCCCUCUGGUUCAGUUCUGGUACAAUUCUUCGUAUCACUCUUCCAUUGGAAUGUCUCCAUUUCGAGCAAUGUACGGUCAUGAACCUCGGCAGUGGGGGAUCACGGCAACAAGUGCCUGCUCAGUACCAGCUCUGCGCUCUUGGUUGGAUGAGCACGCAGUGGUACAGGACCUGUUGCAGCAGCACCUGAACCGAGCUUGCCAAGUUAUGAAACAGCAAGCUGACAAGAAGCGUUCGCUCUGGGUGUUUGAAGUGGGAGAUCUCGUCUACUUGAAGCUGCAACCGUACAUUCAGAUGCCCGUCGCUCCGCGGGCAUGCCACAAACUCUCUUUCCGGUUCUUUGGACCCUACGGGAUCAUCGCUCGUGUGAAUGAUGUUGCCUACAAGCUGCAGUUGCCGGAGCAUGCCCAAGUGCAUCCGGUCUUUCAUGUAUCACAGCUCUGGAAGGCCCUAAUUCCAGAUGCUGGAGCAGCGUUGGCAACGUCGCUGGGGGUCCAUGGUGGAGCAAGUUCUCGUUCGUUGGUCCAACCCAGCAGUUGUGCCUGA
This 660-nucleotide ribosomal RNA is filed under the name Triticum aestivum (bread wheat). RNAcentral describes it as "partial small subunit ribosomal RNA". Lineage: Eukaryota; Viridiplantae; Streptophyta; Magnoliopsida; Poales; Poaceae. The record is from RNAcentral.